Hermetia illucens (black soldier fly) is the source of this 427-nucleotide long non-coding RNA. RefSeq lists it as uncharacterized. NCBI's taxonomy places the organism in Eukaryota, Metazoa, Arthropoda, Insecta, Diptera, Stratiomyidae. The transcript is spliced from 2 exons. The record is from RefSeq and is a predicted model, not a curated record.
ACGAGGGCUAAAACUAAAUCACUAAAGUUACUCACGAAAUUAGUCAACUCUCAAAGUACGUAAAUGUACUGAAUCACACAAAUGAAUAUGAUCGGUCGAUAAUGUAUUAUCAAAUUUUAUAAUUAAACACAAAUCACGUGGAAAUUAGACGACAUAACUCCUCGGCCACACCAUCAGUAUCUAAAAUUUGUCUGCACUGCAGAAGGAGUAAAGACACCGUUGAGGAGAUUACAGCCAAGGCAAACCAAGCUUUUCAAUGUGAGAAGAAAAGGAAACGAGCCAUACUUACGAAGAAAUUAAGGUCUUACAACUACCCAACAUGGACAGCACUGUGACGGGAAAUAAGAAUAUCGAGUACUUAAACAACUUUAUUACUAUGUUGUUGAAUAAGUUUUGCGGUUCAAUAAAAGAGAGGGCGUUGCUACUA